UACGGGAGUGGCAAGCGUUAUCCGGAAUUAUUGGGCGUAAAGCGUCCGCAGGCGGCCCAGCAAGUCUGUUGUUAAAAAGUGGAGCUUAACUCCAUCCAGGCAAUGGAAACUGCUGGGCUAGAGUGUGGUAGGGGCAGAGGGAAUUCCCGGUGUAGCGGUGAAAUGCGUAGAUAUCGGGAAGAACACCAGUGGCGAAGGCGCUCUGCUGGGCCAUAACUGACGCUCAUGGACGAAAGCCAGGGGAGCGAAAGGG
This 253-nucleotide ribosomal RNA is filed under the name uncultured bacterium. RNAcentral describes it as "partial 16S ribosomal RNA". It matches the Rfam family "Bacterial small subunit ribosomal RNA", at positions 524 to 776 of the family's 1533-position model. The record is from RNAcentral.